UUUUAGGCAAUGUAUUUUGUUGUCUUAACUUGCUUUAGACAAAAAAAAAAAAGAAUUAUAGAAUAUGUAUAAACGUUACGAACUUUAAUUUCUAGUAUCGAGUAAUAAGACUCUGGGUAAUCACAAAAAGGAAUAAAAGGGUGUCGUUCAAUCUUCAUUUUAGAUCUUACCCGGAAGCAAAACACAACAUGUGAAAGGUGAACCCAAACGAAAUCAGUUUCAGCGACUGUUUGUUAUUCUUUUCUAAAUUGAUUAUAGUUUUAUAAAUUUGCACAAGUCCCCUAAUGAGAUUUUAGGAACAAGAGAAUAGAGAAAAUAUGCACAAGUCAAAGUGGAAGCUUUUCUUUUUUUGGUAGGAAUAUGGGAGAAUGACUCUCAAUUUAUUUAAAAAAGAAACUCAAACUUCAGCUUACAAGACGAGUUUGUCGUGGCCGCAACGGUCCAGCAACAUCCUCAUGAACUAAAACAGCGACCUCAAUCGGUGUCACAACAAAACUAUGAAAACCAAACGGAAGAGAAAAUGCAAGCUUAGCCAAACCAUCAGCUAAGCGAUUUGCUUCCCUACAAAACUAUGAAAACCAAACGGAAGAGAAAAUGCAAGGUUAGCCAAACUAUCAGCUAAGCGAUUUGAUUCCCUAUAAAUAAUACAGCUCUAUUAAACUUAGCCAUCAUUUUACGGUAAUAAAAAAUAUCAGGUAAAUGUAGUUUUAUUGAAAAAGAAUAUUACAAAACCAUAAAUAGUGACUGUAUUAUUUGUUUUUUGGAGUUAUAAUAAGUUAAACUAGGUAGAGACCUGCGUAGGGUGAAAUUGUUAAGAAAACAAUAAAAUUUUACUAUACUUUGACAUUGUAUAUAAAUCAAUGUACAUAUUAUAAUAGAUUAAGCAUAUGGUAGAUUUGUGGAUACAUGUAAGAAAAACAUUUUUUUUGAAUCAAAAUAUUGGGCUAUAAAAAUCUAUGGACCAAGACUUGGUCAUUAUCAAUGUACAUAUUGUAAUAGAUUAAGCAUUUCUUACUUGUCUUUGAAUAGAUCUCCGGUUCCUGUAAAUCUAACCAAGCUUGUAUGGUAUAUCUUACAGUAUAGUGACGAUAGGAAGUUACCAAAUAUAGUUUUUCACCGCAUAUGUAUGGUGGGAGACGGUUUUUUCAAGAACUAUAGUAGUGGUCCGUGAUAAAAUGUUUUGUGUUUCAUGACUUUGCCUACCAACAGGUCGAAUCUGGCCAUCAAACACAGCCAAACUAUAUUCACAGGUUAGCAUCCAACUUAUUAAUGACUUUUGUACUAUUUGGACUGAUCAAAGCAUAUUUAGUUUAGUUGGUCUUAUAAAAUUAAUGAUAGGCUGAUAUAAUAAUAUGAGUUUACCAUAAUAGUUAACAACUGAAGAUCUAAUUAUAUAAAGAAGAGAUUGAUUCUCUUCUCAGAGAGACACGUCACUAAUUGGAAGCACCAGACAAUGACGCGUGUCCUGAUAUCAAUACUCGGGCGUUUCAUUAAUUUAAGUCGUGUUUUUGUAUCUCUGGGCUGGGAAAAUGGUAGGCUACGUUUGAUUUUAAAACAUGCCCAUAACCUGAAUAAGGAAAACCCUAAGCUUUUGAUAGAAAAAAAAGGAAAAUCCUAAGCUUGUCGCGUUGUCGUCUCCUUCGAGACUUCUCAUCUUCGUCUCUAUCAUCUCAGCACAGAAACGCUCAUGAUUAUUUCUUCGUCGUGUUUAAUCUCCAUUAAUUCAAUCAAACACGAUGUGGCCUUUAAUGCGUGCUUUGAUUCGAAGUCGGUGUAUCUACGAGUAUAAAUAGGCGAGCAUUCUUCCUCUUGCAAUCAUCUUAUCAAUCUGUUUAAACAGCAAACACACAUUUAUUUUCUGAGAUAUGGCUAACUCCAAAAUUUUGCUUUCCGAUUUGAAGUCCGAUAAUUGUUCUUCUAGAGUUCAAGUUAGAUUGUUGCGAUUCUGGGAGGCGGGAUAUGUUAGGCGCGGUGGUGAGCUCAUGUCCGUCCAUAUGCUCUUGCCUGAUUCGAAGGCAACUAUCAUGCCAGCCACCAUGAAUGCUAGCCACUUUUCCCGUUUUAUGGUGUGAGUCCAGCUCAGUCCUUCUUCUCCAAGAAGGCUCCGGCGAGAUCUCCAGCGACUUAUGGGAUCGCGGUGAGCUUGGUGAUGAAUUUGGCUGUGGCCAUUUUUAACACACUUCUGCUGCUAAGUUUAAGAGAAAUGAUAACAAAGCAAAGGCUAUGGGAAGGAGGAGAGCUUUUGGAUAUAAUACUUUCAAGAGGUGGGAAGUAUAAGGAGGAGGAUGCAAAGUUUGUUAUGAUACAAAUAUUGUAAGUGAUUGCAUUUUGUCAUCUCCAAGGUGUUGUACACCGAGAUCUCAAACCCAAGAGUUUUCUGUUAACCUCAAAAGACACCACUCAGUUUAAGGCAAUAGAUUUUGGCUUUUCAGAUUACAAUGAGAGGACAACUAACUUAUAAAGAUUGGGUUUUAGGGUCAAAAAAGGCAGCGCAAAAAUUUACCUCUAACAGAAGCAGCCAUAGAAUUCUGAAAAUGAAAUUCAAUGCAACUCACGAAGAGUUAAUCAAAUUGUGAAACGUAAAAGAAUAUGCAGGUUUCAAGUAUGCUCUGGAAACUUUGGUAGAGACACCUAAUAUGACUGUUAGGGUCGCAAAAUGGUUGAUUUGUAUCUUUUCAGCUUCGCUUAUAGGAAUACACUUAAAUUAUGUUCUUACUAUUCAAUCAUGGCAGCGUCCUGCUAACGAUUGUAAUCAACUUUGCAAAAAUCCAAAAAGCAAUCUUAAACCAUUUUUAGAUAUAAGGAAUGAGACUUUUGUGAACAAACGUUCAUUAUCUUUCACAAAGAAAGUGCUACAGAAAUGGUGACUUGAAGUUGUACGAAACUGAGUUCUAGAGUUUUUUAUUUUUGUUUUUGAAACACUUGAGUUCUAGAGUUUAUAGGGACUUUAACCAAUGUUUUAGUUCCUGCCUUCCUGGACUUAUAUUUACUGUGUUUUUUUUUUAAAACGUGGACCAUUAUGAUCAUCUUUAUCUCUUAAAGCUAUUGAAGGAGAAAUAAAAGAUCAUCGACAGAAGAAUAAAAUUUCACUAUACACACAUACAUGUGCUUAUUUAUGUCUCCUGAAUCAUGAAUGUUUGUUUCAGUAUAAACUUAUAUUUUGUAUUUUGACCAAAAAAAAAACUUAUAUUUUGUAUUGAGUUGAUCUUUCUUUAUCCGUGUACUUUUCUACUUUUGUUGUGCACAAAAUUUUUAGUUGGUUAACAAAACAUGAGUCAACUUCAGAUUUGCUUGAUAAAUUUUCUUAUACAAUAAAGACUAAUACAUUAAAACACUUUGAAUAGACCAUUGAUUUGUUUGGUGAUGUAUAUAUAUAGCUCAAGUUUUAUCUGGACAUGCUUUGAAUAGAGGCCUCCAAAAUUGGCCCCAAGACAAGAAACCUUCCUAUCCAUCGGAACACUUGGAAACAAACUCUUCCCUAGGACGAAUAUGGAGCAGAGUCUACCAAAGAUCUCACUGCGAUUAACACAAAUAAAACUUUUGGGAAGAAGAAAUCACUUGAAACUUCCACCUCCUCUGGGUUUGACUGUAGGAGAUUUAUUUCCUAUAAAAUAUAUUUCAUAGUUGACUGCCGUUCAAAAAAAAUAAUACAUAUAUGACCAAGUUAUUUGGUCACUGCUUUCAAUUGCAAACUCAUGUGACAGUCAAUUCACAGAUACUGAUAUCAAUGGAACUAAAUAAAGCUAUAACAAAGUUGAAAAAAUUACCGGCGGUUACGAAAGAAAACGAAAUAUGACUAAGAAAAAAGCGGCAAAAGUGGAAUGGAAGACUCGACCUUAGAUAGGACAUAUGCUUUUAACUAAAUUGGGCUUUAAUUGAAAUUAAGCUUAUUAUCCAUAUAUGGCCUCUUCUAAUCAACUUUAAUCGUUUCUUUGAUAAAAGCAAAUAUUACAAGUUAGAAAAUUGAUCAAAAUGAUUUUUUUCGGUCAUUGUUUUGAUUUUGAAAUUACCUUUGUCAUACAACAAACACCGUAUAACACAAAUCUUAUAAUCUAAAUAACAAUUAAAUUAUGGGCUAUGGAGUUACUGUCGGAUGAGGUAGUGCAUGUUUCUACUUCCACGCUGAGUAACAAAUUUUCCAUUAUUUUAAAACUCGAACCGAAUUAACAGUCAGACAGAUUUAACCGUCAACUAGAGACAUAUUCGGGUCGGCUGGAUAAAAUUGCGUUUAGUUUUAAUUUGUUACUAAAAAACAUUUGUUGAUUGUUUAUCUUUUAAAUCAUCAAAACUAUUAUAAAUAAAUAAUAUAUUUUAUUAUAUUUAAUGAUUAAUAUUUUAUCUUAUAAUUUAAAAUAUUGAAUUUAUAUUUUAUUUUUAUUUUUUUUACUUAAAUUUAUAAAAUAUAUGCAAUCAAAAUAUAUAAUAAUAUAAUUAUAUACAUCACAUUUAAAUCAAAUCCUGCGCGUAGCAUGCUUACCCUGGUAAUAUAUAUAGUGAUAAUAGAAAGAGAAGACGUCUGAAAACGACUAAUAUAUGAGAUAUAAAAUGCUACUGAAUGUUGUCGUCAAUAAGCUUUGAUUGGAAUCCUGAGAAGAAAAAUAAAACUAAGAAAAAAAUAUUAAGUAAAUAUAGAUGGAAGAUUAAUUAAAAACAAUAGAAAAUGAAUUUAGAUGCCUGCUACUUCUUUUUGAAGGUCUGUAUUUCUGGAAUGUCAGGGUCGAACAAAAUUUUAGAAAAUCCACUUGCUUGAAACCACUUAUAUAUGAAGCAAAUAUUUCUGCUUACCAAAUUAAGAAUGAUCUAGAGUUGUGUGUACCUAUUCUAUAUGUAAAUUACCUUCUCCCUAGAGGUCCAAAAGCCUUGUAAAGUUAAUAAUUAGGAAACACA
This is a long non-coding RNA of Brassica napus (rape), 4887 nucleotides long. RefSeq lists it as uncharacterized. The record is from RefSeq and is a predicted model, not a curated record. Lineage: Eukaryota; Viridiplantae; Streptophyta; Magnoliopsida; Brassicales; Brassicaceae. The transcript is spliced from 6 exons.